UCCUAGUCAGUAUAGUGGUGAGUAUCCCUGCCUAUCAUGCAGGAGAUUGGGGUUGGAUUCCCUGAUGGCGAG
This 72-nucleotide transfer RNA is filed under the name Albula goreensis. RNAcentral describes it as "tRNA-Asp". Lineage: Eukaryota; Metazoa; Chordata; Actinopteri; Albuliformes; Albulidae. The record is from RNAcentral.